This 1343-nucleotide ribosomal RNA is filed under the name uncultured bacterium. RNAcentral describes it as "16S ribosomal RNA". It matches the Rfam family "Bacterial small subunit ribosomal RNA", at positions 28 to 1378 of the family's 1533-position model. The record is from RNAcentral.
GACGAACGCUGGCGGCGUGCUUAACACAUGCAAGUCGAACGGAAAGGCCCUGCUUUUGUGGGGUGCUCGAGUGGCGAACGGGUGAGUAACACGUGAGUAACCUGCCCUUGACUUUGGGAUAACUUCAGGAAACUGGGGCUAAUACCGGAUAGGAGCUCCUGCUGCAUGGUGGGGGUUGGAAAGUUUCGGCGGUUGGGGAUGGACUCGCGGCUUAUCAGCUUGUUGGUGGGGUAGUGGCUUACCAAGGCUUUGACGGGUAGCCGGCCUGAGAGGGUGACCGGCCACAUUGGGACUGAGAUACGGCCCAGACUCCUACGGGAGGCAGCAGUGGGGAAUAUUGCACAAUGGGCGGAAGCCUGAUGCAGCAACGCCGCGUGCGGGAUGACGGCCUUCGGGUUGUAAACCGCUUUCGCCUGUGACGAAGCGUGAGUGACGGUAAUGGGUAAAGAAGCACCGGCUAACUACGUGCCAGCAGCCGCGGUGAUACGUAGGGUGCGAGCGUUGUCCCGAUUUAUUGGGCGUAAAGGGCUCGUAGGUGGUUGAUCGCGUCGGAAGUGUAAUCUUGGGGCUUAACCCUGAGCGUGCUUUCGAUACGGGUUGACUUGAGGAAGGUAGGGGAGAAUGGAAUUCCUGGUGGAGCGGUGGAAUGCGCAGAUAUCAGGAGGAACACCAGUGGCGAAGGCGGUUCUCUGGGCCUUUCCUGACGCUGAGGAGCGAAAGCGUGGGGAGCGAACAGGCUUAGAUACCCUGGUAGUCCACGCUGUAAACGGUGGGUACUAGGUGUGGGGUCCAUUCCACGGGUUCCGUGCCGUAGCUAACGCUUUAAGUACCCCGCCUGGGGAGUACGGCCGCAAGGCUAAAACUCAAAGGAAUUGACGGGGCCCCGCACAAGCGGCGGAGCAUGCGGAUUAAUUCGAUGCAACGCGUAGAACCUUACCUGGGUUUGACAUGGAUCGGGAGUGCUCAGAGAUGGGUGUGCCUCUUUUGGGGUCGGUUCACAGGUGGUGCAUGGCUGUCGUCAGCUCGUGUCGUGAGAUGUUGGGUUAAGUCCCGCAACGAGCGCAACCCUUGUUCACUGUUGCCAGCACGUUAUGGUGGGGACUCAGUGGAGACCGCCGGGGUCAACUCGGAGGAAGGUGGGGAUGACGUCAAGUCAUCAUGCCCCUUAUGUCCAGGGCUUCACGCAUGCUACAAUGGCUGGUACAGAGAGUGGCGAGCCUGUGAGGGUGAGCGAAUCUCGGAAAGCCGGUCUCAGUUCGGAUUGGGGUCUGCAACUCGACCUCAUGAAGUCGGAGUCGCUAGUAAUCGCAGAUCAGCAACGCUGCGGUGAAUACGUUCCCGGG